AGCGACGAGUCUCUACUCCUAAUGGAGCAGCAGAUCGGUCUCCGUCGCCAACCAGACCUUCGCACGCCCGAUCCAGCCCUACGCCCCCUCCGCGGCCGAUCCAUCCCCGUGCCGCGGCCGAUCCAUGCCCUAUGCCGCCGCCGAUGCCUCCUCCUCCACCUCCAUUCCCAAGCGAGGGCACCCGCGGCCGCGGUCUUCUCCCCCAGCCACCAUGGCUGCAGAUCCACUCACGGCCGGUCGUCUAAGCUGCAAGCAUGGAUGGAUGGAUCCAGGAAGGUAUCCUUCCUCCCUGGGUGGAGCGAGCUGCACAUCCCAUUCGGCCCUCUGUAGCCGGCCAUCUCCGCCUCCUCCUCGCCGUCGCCGCCGCCGGGGAUCGCGUCUUCACCAAGCGCGAGCUCCGCCCCGUCCGACCGACCGCAAAGGGGUUGUCCAUUGUAAAUUUUCAAGGAGAUUCAAAUGUUCCUCUUCUGGAUGAUUGAAGGGAUACUUGAAGCUAGGGCAAUCCAAGUAAGAUAGCUUCAUCCUCAGGCAACAGGUUUAUGUUAUCUUAUCAUGGAGUCAUUUUUAAGUUUGUGCCCAACGCCUUCAUCCUUAGAAUGGCUGCCCAGAUGGCAAGCCACCGUACUCAGGCGACUGCCGCGCUAGCAGGGUGCUCCAACUUUUGAUGCUGGCGAAGCUUUUGGAAUGAUGGCUACAUAAUUUGUUAGUCUCCGUUGGAAGCUUAAUUAAACUGAGGUUCAGAUGUGUGGCAAAGGAUUUCAAUUUUCCUGUUUACACAAAGGAAACUUGAGGAAGGUUCAUAUUUCUCAUGCUCGGUGCUGUGCUCUCAAGGUUACAUAGACAAAAAUGCCUCCUAUUUACACAACGGCAACCCGACGAAGGAUGACGGGGCGGGUCGGGAGGCGGGGAAAGCCGUCCAUGGCAAUCCUGGUGGCGUUGCUAAUGGCGUCAGUGGCACUGCCGCUCCUCAUGGUGCCCGACAUGCUCUCUAUGCCAGGCUCCAACGGCGUGGAUCGCGGCGCCGCCUUGUCGCUCCCACGCCCGUGCUUCAGCAGAUCCGUGUUUGAGUCGUGCAUACCUUUAGCCGCCUCCCCUCCAAUGUCCACGACUCUGAUAUACCGUGUUUGUUAGUCUUGACUGGUGUUUGUUCUCCGUAUUGUUGUGCAGGAGGCUGGAGAACAGCAGGGAGAAAAGGGAGUCGUGGAUGGAGGUUCUGUACUUCUGUUGUAUCAACAUCUUCUCCAUGAGUCUUUUGCCCCCACUCUGUUUUUGGUUUGGGCCGAAACGUCAUCGUCUUGAUUCUUUACGUGGUUCAUUGGCUCAGACUUGUCCUACAUGGCCGAGCGAGAUCGAGGCUAGCCACCGGUAAUGUUCUUCUCCCGUGCAAGUUCCGCACUGCAUUGAAGCAUCCAACACAUGAUGUAGCUACGUUACAGGUGGGACAUCAGCCAAGUAUGUUUCGAGGUGAGACAUCCAUCAAGUUUGUUUGGAGAAAAUAAGGGCCUUAGAAGAAAAUAAAAAAAAAUUGUGCAGUCCAGCUCCUGCGUGCUGGUCACCGAGCUCCACUGUGUCCAGCUCAUCCGACCAUGUGCUCCACUGCAUCUAGGUCAGCCGAUCUUGUGGCAGAGCUACACUGACGCAAGAGCAAAUAAUUUUACAAUUUCUUUGUUGUUCCUUUGUACUGGAUAACUGUGCAUUUUUAGAGGUGUGAAGAUGUAAUGCAAUAACAGUAACUGGGCGUAGGCACAUCCGUCUCGAUAAGCAUUAUGGGAACGGACAAAGGCAAGGCAUUCCAAUGUAAGAAAUGGAUGAAGGCAAGGUAUGUCAUUCUAAAAAAGGCAAGGCAUACCAGGAUGCUGCAUUUCUUAAUGUCCAGUUCUCUACGCUUUCCCUAUAGCAACCUUUUUUAGAUCUUAUGAGUUGUGUUUUCCUAACAAAAAAAUGUCCAUAUGGAUUCACUGAAACAAGAUUAUAUUAUCAGCAAUUUUGUUUGCAUGUAAUUAAUUAGUGAUAGCCUAUGCCUCACACAACUAUUUUUUCCAGUUCAGUUGUAUCCUUCAAUAUGGGUGCAAUGAAGUGUGGAUAGACAAACACAUUUCUUUUACUGUGAUAUCAUUGACCUUGUUGAUUUAUAUUUUCAAAACUGAUAGGAAUGAAAUCCAUAUGAAUCUUGUGAUGCCAAAGCUCUAAGUGCUGAUGAUUUAAAUUCCUAUUAAAAAAUCCUUAAAUAGAAAGUGGACCUUAUAGCGGAGAAUAAUGUGUAAGCUAUAGGUGGAGUCCAUCUCAAGGGAAGUGAAACCGAAAACAUAGACCACAUUAGAGUCGAAGAUAAGGUGAAUGCAAUCACAGAUCCACAUGAGAGUCAGAUAAGAUUGGUGAAUGCAAUCAGAACUGUCAAAUGUGUGUUUUCCAAUUUUUCAUGCCGCAUGAUCUCUGCUCACUUUACUAGAAGAAGAGCCUUCCUACAUGGUGAAGGUGGAUAAGGAGCCAUUCAACUUAGAGGAAGUGUCUCAAUAAAUGUGUGUGUUACCAAGGUUGAAUUGUCUACUCGCUCUCUUGGAGGUUAUGUUCCUUCCCGUCUAUUAAGCUGUUAGUAUCCUUAUCACCGUGUCUGGCUCCACUGAAAAGCUCACACUGCCAUGCUUGAAGAACAUAAAUGGUGGUACAUUAUUCUGAUAUAUUUUAUGUGCCGCCAUUGUGGUAGAGCCCGACAUGAAGGGUGGGUCCAGUAUAUAAGCAGGUGGUACUAGCACUAAGAUAGGAAGGUCAUUUCCGCCCUUGUCCUUUGUUGAUGGCCUGCCAAGGCGGCGUCGAUUACUGGUUCAAUUUGAACACGAGUUAGUGGAUUUUAUUAUAAAAGUGAGGUUUAAGAGUGGGUGAUGGUUAUUUGGGUUGAUAUGUUCAGUUAUGGCUGUCUGAGCGGAAUAAUUUCCAUACCUUAGAAAAUAUGGCAAAGUGCAUUUAAUUAGAGAUGGCAUUGCAGCAAAUUGCAUGAGUGAGCGGUUCAUAUUUUUUCAUUAAGUCAUACAUUUUUUUGGUUAGGAUGAAAGGGUAUAUGCAUUGGGGGGUUGUUUCAAGAGUUAAUAAUGGACACGGUGGUGUAUCAGUUGCAUGCCAACAGCUAUAUCAUAUUUUUGUUUCAUUGUAAUACACGACAUUCAUUUCUGUGUUACAACAUGGCAAUGGAUCAGGAGACGUCGGAUCCUCCUUCCUGGCUCGGGGGUGUCAUGGGCGGCGCAUGCCUCGCCCCCCUUGCUGGCGGUGGGAUCGGCGUGAGCACGGGAAGGGAGGAUUAGGGUAGAGAGUAGGGCGGUUGGUGGUGGACUCUUUAUUAGCGGUCCGUGGGGAAGUACGGUGCGAAGGAGAGAUGUGUCAUUGCGAUGGUGAUGCGGGCGUCAUCUGCCUUUAAAGGAGAGUGCUCCAGUGAGAAAUGUCCUGCUACAACAAGAAAUCAAGCAGGAAGGGAGGGUCCUGCAGGAAAAGGGAAGGGUGCGUCAUGGGGUGGAAUUUUUUGUUGGGACUUUGGAUCGCCUGUUUAAGAUAACAUGACAGAUAGUACGGACAACCAUAUGUCUCCCCCAUGGGCUGGAUUUGGGGGUGGAUGGACUGUCCAGAUGGUUGGAUUUUGGAUAGCCCGUUAGGGGCUUGUUUGAUGCUCAAACACGCCCGGAUGUAAGAGAAAUGAAUUUCAACCUUGGAAUCGGCCUUAAUCGUUUAUUUGAUUUAUUUAUAUGCACUAUAGCUCGUAUCAUACAUAAAGAAGCACUCGAAAUAAAGCAAACACGGCUGAACUUAAUCAUUUGUUUGAUUCACUUAUACAUAUUGUAGCCCGUACCAUAUGUACAGAAGCACUCGAAAUAAAGCAAGCCGAUUGGGAUUCCGAUAUAUCUGAACAACAACGUUUAUAUCUGUAUGGUAUUCCAAUGAGCAUAGGCGGGUAACAAAUUCGGAAUACAAACAUUUAUUUUUGUCAUCACUAUAUAAUAUAAUAUUAAUUUUGGAAAUUGCGGGGAUGUGCCUCGCUAUUUUGGUUUUCAUUUUAUGCUCUGGUGGAACAGUAAAGAACCGGUUAAGCCGCUUUGCGCGAUGCGUAUUGUCUGUUAAAUGUUUGAAGACCUUGGAUGUGAAGUACUCGUGCUAACUACAUUUUUUUGCUUGUGUGGGAUGAGUAUGAAUUGAGGAGCAGUUUUUAUUAUAUUUUCUAAAACAUGGUGCGAAUGAAGCUAAAGAAUCUUUUCCAUUGGGCGAGAAUUUCUUAAGCGCAUCAAGUAGUAGAUCUUAAUAAUUUGUAAUGGAUUUUUAAUUGGAUCAUUGCUCUAUAUGUAUACAACAUCAAUUUGCAUUUUUGUUAUCAAUUAUUGUAAGUGAAGUGGACUUCAAUUA
Long non-coding RNA from Triticum aestivum (bread wheat), 4383 nucleotides. RefSeq lists it as uncharacterized. The transcript has 9 exons. The record is from RefSeq and is a predicted model, not a curated record. Lineage: Eukaryota; Viridiplantae; Streptophyta; Magnoliopsida; Poales; Poaceae.